Molecule: ribosomal RNA, 492 nt
Filed under: uncultured bacterium
Lineage: Bacteria
Description: partial 16S ribosomal RNA
Rfam family: Bacterial small subunit ribosomal RNA
Source: RNAcentral
AGUGAACGCUGGCGGUAGGCCUAACACAUGCCAGUCGAACGGCAGCACAGUAAGAGCUUGCUCUUACGGGUGGCGAGUGGCAGACGGGUGAGGAAUACAUCGGAAUCUACUUUUUCGUGGGGGAUAACGUAGGGAAACUUACGCUAAUACCGCAUACGACCUACGGGUGAAAGCAGGGGAUCUUCGGACCUUGCGCGAUUGAAUGAGCCGAUGUCGGAUUAGCUAGUUGGCGGGGUAAAGGCCCACCAAGGCGACGAUCCGUAGCUGGUCUGAGAGGAUGAUCAGCCACACUGGAACUGAGACACGGUCCAGACUCCUACGGGAGGCAGCAGUGGGGAAUAUUGGACAAUGGGCGCAAGCCUGAUCCAGCCAUACCGCGUGGGUGAAGAAGGCCUUCGGGUUGUAAAGCCCUUUUGUUGGGAAAGAAAAGCAGCAGGUUAAUACCCCGCUGUUCUGGCGGUACCCAAAGAAUAAGCACCGGCUAACUUCGUG